Long non-coding RNA from Anolis carolinensis (green anole), 1514 nucleotides. RefSeq lists it as uncharacterized. The record is from RefSeq and is a predicted model, not a curated record. NCBI's taxonomy places the organism in Eukaryota, Metazoa, Chordata, Lepidosauria, Squamata, Anolidae. The transcript is spliced from 3 exons.
UAUCCACAGGUUCAACUAUCCAGGGCUUGAAACUAUCUUUUUAAACUCCAAAAAGCAAAACUUGAUUUUGCCAUUUUAUAUAAGGGACACCAAUUUACUGCCAUUGUAUAAAAUGAAAUGUAAGCAUCCAUGGGUUUUGAUAUACAUGGGAAAUUCUGUAAUUGAACCUCAGCAGAUGACAAGGGUUGACUGUUUUCUUAUAUUUCAUUUAAUACAUAUUUUUAAAAUUCGAGUGUCUCACAUGGAAGUUCCACAAUGCUGCCACUGAUUAAGUCUUUAUCUGUUUAACUUGAAGACUCCUAUAAUGUCAUCUUUUCUUUGAUUUAUUAAACUUUUUAAUAAUAAUAAGUUUGAAACUUGCAAAUACUCAAGAUAUCCAAUUUAAAUAAGUAAUGAAGCUAGAAAUGAAGGCAGAAAUUGCAGUAGCAUGACUGGAGCAACUGAAUACGGUCAAUUAAUCUUGGAAGGAGGAGUACACAACAACGGUUACGCGGCAACAGACUUGAUCUUCGGUCCAAUGAACACUGCCUUGAAUGCAAGCCCAACAUUUCUAAGUGGAUUUGUGACUGCAACCUCAGAAAGUGGUCUACAAACAUAAUGCACAGAUUCCUUUAUGUUUCUUGACGGCUUUCAGUUCAGCUUGAAGCAGCCUUUUGUGAAGCUUCCAGUAUAUCCGGGAUUCAUGUGCAAGUCCUUCAAUGUUAACUGUCUUGCCAAGACCUUGCCUCAAGAUGUCUUCAUUCAGACAGACACUGGAAAAUCUACCCUGUUUGGAAGAACAUUGAAAGCAUUGCUGUGUGUGUCCUUUACGAGAAUGAAAGUACAAUCCACAGUGAAUAAGCUGAAAUUAUUCAUUGUAUCCACAUCUCAAGGAAAAUGACCUUUUGAGAAAUUUGCUGGGUCUGCCAGGCAAUUCUAUGGUAUGCUUUCCCUCGAAAUUACCAAACAGUCACACUGCAGGACCUAGCAAAUUCCCAGAGAGGAUACCACCCUAAGAAUUUCUAAGUCUCCCAGUGCAAUUCUAUGGUCUGCUGGAACUGGAAGUCAGAUGAUUUAAUAGCAUUUCAGAUAUAUCUCUGGUUUCAGGUAACUCUAGCCCAGCAGAUAUGGAGGUCUUAACUGUGGUAAAGAAAAAGACUGCAAUCCUAAAGUUAACCUAGUGGGACCUACAGAGUAAACAUGCUUAGAAUCUGGAUUCCCACUUUCCCCUGCAUUAUUUACCUUUUUGAUCACCACAAGGCAAUGAAGCACUGAGUCCUUCCUUUCCAGAAGUUGGAACCACAUCAUUUGUGAGGGUUUUAUUUCACUUUUCAACCAGAUCGUGCCACCUGGUGCCAGCUCGACACCAGCAAGCCUGACCAGCAACAAUCCGUCUGCAUGCCCUAGGGACACAUGCAUAAUAACAUUUUGUUUUGUGACGUUAUCAGAACAAUAUUAUUGACUUUCUUAUUCAAUUUAAGCAGUGUAGAGCAACUGGAGUUCUAUGCUACUUUGAAAUAAAUGACUAAAUUUAA